CACAGCUUGUCCUUCCUGCCCGCGUCUGAGUGGCUGGCGUCGAGGGCGGAAUUAAAGCUUCUGCGUCUGACUGGUUGGAAAAGCCGCUCAUCCCGUACCACUCCACCCUACCGACAAGACCGAGGUGGAGGGUUUGGAGCGCCCGGUGAGCUUGCCGGAGCGCGUGUCGGAGGCCGCAUGGGCCUUGCCUCGCUACGGACCGAUGUAAUUCCACUGAGAGGAAGGAUAACGGGGGUAGUAGGGCUGCACGGGGACCACGCGCUCCCUGGGGACUCUAGCCGGCCGAGGGAGGCCUUCACUCUGGGGCUCUGGUGUCCCUGUAGCUGAUGGCGGCAACCGGGGCCAAACCUGCCUGCCCUUUCCCGUUACCGGGCACGGCUGUGCGGUGGGAAUUUGAGUUUGCUGCUGUUGCAAUUCCGGCAGAGCCGAGCUUCCACUGAGAAGAGUACGAACGGUCUAGUGUGUCCGAGAACUUGUGGCUCUAAAGUUUGAAGUCGAUCGACUUGGCGUCGCUGCGUUCCUUUGUAUGUUCUUUCCCCGUUGUGUCCAAACUAAAGGAUGGAGCGAGCA
Mesocricetus auratus (golden hamster) is the source of this 570-nucleotide long non-coding RNA. RefSeq lists it as uncharacterized. The record is from RefSeq and is a predicted model, not a curated record. The transcript has 2 exons. NCBI's taxonomy places the organism in Eukaryota, Metazoa, Chordata, Mammalia, Rodentia, Cricetidae.